CGGGGAGUAGCGCAGCCUGGCUAGCGCACAGCGUUCGGGACGCUGGGGUCGUGGGUUCAAAUCCCACCUCCCCGACCA
This 78-nucleotide transfer RNA is filed under the name Acidobacteriota bacterium. Its description in RNAcentral is "Acidobacteria bacterium (anaerobic digester metagenome) tRNA-Pro". It matches the Rfam family "tRNA". Rfam says of the family: Transfer RNA (tRNA) molecules are approximately 80 nucleotides in length. Lineage: Bacteria; Pseudomonadati; Acidobacteriota. RNAcentral also lists the same sequence under 4 other names. The record is from RNAcentral.